Long non-coding RNA from Pieris napi, 224 nucleotides. RefSeq lists it as uncharacterized. The record is from RefSeq and is a predicted model, not a curated record. The transcript is spliced from 2 exons. NCBI's taxonomy places the organism in Eukaryota, Metazoa, Arthropoda, Insecta, Lepidoptera, Pieridae.
AUUUCAUGAAAAGCACUUGUGUUAUAAUCGAUAUCUUUUAUUGAUAUUUAUAUUGCAUAUGAGAAAGCAGUUCCUAAUGAACAUAAUUAGAAGUUCUAAAUAUAUUUUAUUGUAAUUAUAAUAGAGGCUAAUGAUAUAAUAUUAAUUUAAAUUAAUCAAAUAAAGUGGAUUUAUACUUCAUGAACUUUGGAAAUAUAAAAUCUAGUGAGCAAUACCAAGUAAUG